AGGAGAAUGAGGAGGAA
Molecule: small RNA, 17 nt
Filed under: Arabidopsis thaliana (thale cress)
Lineage: Eukaryota; Viridiplantae; Streptophyta; Magnoliopsida; Brassicales; Brassicaceae
Description: ATSL230690
Source: RNAcentral